RNAcentral lists this transfer RNA (91 nucleotides) under Bacillota bacterium. RNAcentral describes it as "tRNA-Ser". It matches the Rfam family "tRNA". Rfam says of the family: Transfer RNA (tRNA) molecules are approximately 80 nucleotides in length. Their secondary structure includes four short double-helical elements and three loops (D, anti-codon, and T loops). The record is from RNAcentral. Lineage: Bacteria; Bacillati; Bacillota.
GGAGGGGUGUCCGAGCGGCUUAAGGAGGCGGUCUUGAAAAUCGUUGGGCUCCUUGCGGGCCCCGUGGGUUCGAAUCCCACCCCCUCCGCCA